AAUAUAGUGCCUGAUUAAAAGGAUAGCUUUGAUAGAGCUAAUAAUGUAGUUCUCUACCUAUAUUA
RNAcentral lists this transfer RNA (65 nucleotides) under Thalamita sima. RNAcentral describes it as "tRNA-Ile". The record is from RNAcentral. RNAcentral also lists the same sequence under 1 other name. Lineage: Eukaryota; Metazoa; Arthropoda; Malacostraca; Decapoda; Portunidae.